ACCUUUUCCCGCUCCUUGGCUAAGACCUAAGGUGUAGUAUCUGUUAUUAGUUAAAACUAUAUGAUCCCCAUUUUGGGGCCUCGUAUUAAAAUGCUUCGGUAAUGGCAAAAUGCUGGGGGGUUUCUCCCCCUUUGCCCCGGAUCGUCCCCGGGAUUUCAAUAUCUCCGGGAUCGGUCCACUCACU
Cherax quadricarinatus is the source of this 184-nucleotide small nuclear RNA. RefSeq annotates it as U2 spliceosomal RNA. Lineage: Eukaryota; Metazoa; Arthropoda; Malacostraca; Decapoda; Parastacidae. The record is from RefSeq and is a predicted model, not a curated record.